GGGUGAGUAACGCGUGAGGAACCUGCCUUGAAGAGGGGGACAACAGUUGGAAACGACUGCUAAUACCGCAUGAAGCAUAGGGGUCGCAUGAUUCUUAUGCCAAAGAUUUAUCGCUUCAAGAUGGCCUCGCGUCUGAUUAGCUAGUUGGCGGGGUAACGGCCCACCAAGGCGACGAUCAGUAGCCGGACUGAGAGGUUGAACGGCCACAUUGGGACUGAGAUACGGCCCAGACUCCUACGGGAGGCAGCAGUGGGGAAUAUUGGGCAAUGGGCGCAAGCCUGACCCAGCAACGCCGCGUGAAGGAAGAAGGCUUUCGGGUUGUAAACUUCUUUUAAGAGGGAAGAGCAGAAGACGGUACCUCUAGAAUAAGCCACGGCUAACUACGUGCCAGCAGCCGCGGUAAUGCGUAGGUGGCAAGCGUUGUCCGGAUUUACUGGGUGUAAAGGGCGUGCAGCCGGGUCUGCAAGUCAGAUGUGAAAUCCAUGGGCUCAACCCAUGAACUGCAUUUGAAACUGUAGAUCUUGAGUGUCGGAGGGGCAAUCGGAAUUCCUAGUGUAGCGGUGAAAUGCGUAGAUAUUAGGAGGAACACCAGUGGCGAAGGCGGAUUGCUGGACGAUAACUGACGGUGAGGCGCGAAAGUGUGGGGAGCAAACAGGAUUAGAUACCCUGGUAGUCCACACUGUAAACGAUGAAUACUAGGUGUGCGGGGACU
This 712-nucleotide ribosomal RNA is filed under the name uncultured bacterium. Its description in RNAcentral is "bacterial SSU rRNA". It matches the Rfam family "Bacterial small subunit ribosomal RNA", at positions 104 to 832 of the family's 1533-position model. The record is from RNAcentral.